Molecule: ribosomal RNA, 460 nt
Filed under: uncultured bacterium
Lineage: Bacteria
Description: partial 16S ribosomal RNA
Rfam family: Bacterial small subunit ribosomal RNA
Source: RNAcentral
CCUACGGGUGGCAGCAGUGAGGAAUAUUGGUCAAUGGCCGUAAGGCUGAACCAGCCAAGUCGCGUGAAGGAAGAAGGAUCUAUGGUUUGUAAACUUCUUUUAUAGGGGAAUAAAGGUAUCCACGUGUGGAUAUUUGCAUGUACCCUAUGAAUAAGCAUCGGCUAACUCCGUUCCAGCAGCCGCGGUAAUACUGAGGAUGCGUGCGUUAUCCGGAUUUAUUGGGUGUAAAGGGUGCGUAGGUUGUUUUUUAAGUCAGCGGUGAAAGUUUGUGGCUCAACCAUAAAAUUGCCGUUGAAACUGGGAGACGUGAGUGUGGGUGAGGUAGGCGGAAUGCGUGGUGUAGCAGUGAAAUGCAUAGAUAUCACGCAGAACUCCGAUGGCGAAGGCAGGUUACUGGGCCAUAACUGACACUGAGGCACGAAGGCGAGGGGAUCAAACGGGAUUAGAUACCCUUGUAGUC